CAUUUAAACACAAAAUUGCAGCAAACCAAAGGUGAAAUCCGUAGCUCUUCAUUUCCAAAUUCUCCAAAAUUUCAAAUCUUCAUAUCUUUUUCGUUUCUCAACGAAAUUGAGCGAUUUUUGCGGCCACGGAACGAGAAAGUGAUUAUCUACAACUCUAUGGCAUCAAUUUAAGUGUAAUUGUAAGCUUGUAAUGAAGGUUAUGGAUGAUGAAAUUGGAGCUUUAAACCUACGGCAAUAGAGACAUCAUCAAGACUCGACGAAGCGACUAUCGACAAGGCUCGAAGGGAACGGAUCGAGAUGUCUUCGUGUUUAUUUGAAGAAUUUGGAUAGCAAGUGGGAUGGUAUGAUAUGAUUUGAAGAGUUAAGCUUCCGAAGUUUUAAUUCUCGGAAGUCAUUUGCACAAGAAGUAAAAAAAGGAAAAGUGCCAAAGCGGAGAGGUAAACCGUCUAGGAACAGAAGAGAUGAUUUUCCCCGGUGAUUUCUUGCGACUGCAGCUCCCACCCCCAUCCUGGUCGAUAACUGAAAAGCUCCAUUGAAGUUAAUUAAUCUGUUACCAGUAAAGGGGCACCAUUGUUGGUUCUGCCCCUGCUUAGGCCGAGUAGCACUAAUGACCUUGUCUGUCUGAUUCCUGCUACGAGUGGCCAUGUGAAAUUCAGCUUGCACCGGCCUGCUUCAGCACCCUCGGAAAAUCAGUGUCAAUUAAUAUCCCUAAAAGUAAGAGAAUUCAGAGCUAACCAUGUCGCCCAAAGGAUCUAAGCAGAUUUAUCAGAUUUUAGUUUUUUUUCUUCCAUCAUUCACCAUUAUCAAUGAAAGAGAUUAUCUUAUUAAUUGAUUUAUAAAAG
Mercurialis annua (annual mercury) is the source of this 842-nucleotide long non-coding RNA. RefSeq lists it as uncharacterized. The transcript has 5 exons. The record is from RefSeq and is a predicted model, not a curated record. Lineage: Eukaryota; Viridiplantae; Streptophyta; Magnoliopsida; Malpighiales; Euphorbiaceae.